This 422-nucleotide ribosomal RNA is filed under the name uncultured bacterium. RNAcentral's name for it is "bacterial SSU rRNA". It matches the Rfam family "Bacterial small subunit ribosomal RNA", at positions 395 to 814 of the family's 1533-position model. The record is from RNAcentral.
CGCCGCGUGAGUGAGGAAGGCUUCGGGUCGUAAAGCUCUGUCAGAAGGGAAGAAGUGUUAUAUGGUUAACACCCAUAUAAUUUGACGGUACCUUCAGAGGAAGCACCGGCUAACUCCGUGCCAGCAGCCGCGGUAAUACGGAGGGUGCUAGCGUUGUUCGGAAUUACUGGGCGUAAAGGGCGCGUAGGCGGCUGGAUAAGUCAGAUGUGAAAGUCCACAGCUCAACUGUGGAAGUGCAUUUGAAACUGUCCGGCUUGAGUAUCGGAGGGGAGUGUGGAAUUCCCGGUGUAGAGGUGAAAUUCGUAGAGAUCGGGAGGAACACCGGUGGCGAAGCGACACUCUGGACGAAUACUGACGCUGAGGCGCGAAACGUGGGGAGCAAACAGGAUUAGAUACCUGGUAGUCCCGCCGUAACGAUGUGA